RNA transcript from Oncorhynchus tshawytscha (Chinook salmon), 4383 nucleotides. It is a transcript of the gene named Krueppel-like factor 5, with no coding region annotated. The transcript has 6 exons. The record is from RefSeq and is a predicted model, not a curated record. Lineage: Eukaryota; Metazoa; Chordata; Actinopteri; Salmoniformes; Salmonidae.
GGUAAAACGACACAUGAGCCAGAGGGAGGCAUUUGGAAUUCCUGGAUCCGAUAAAGACGCGCAUAUCACGCAGCAGUUGUCAAAUCUAUAUGUACUUUACAUACGUUAUAUGUAUAAAGAAUGGGUUAUUUGAAUACGUUUUAUCCAGGAGAUAGUUAUGGAAACUAGUAUAGGACAGGCCAUGAAUCCGGCACACAACAGAAGAGAGCGCGGUUUUCACGCAACUAAAACCUGUGCGGCUGUCUGGAGCGGACGGCGCAGAUGACUCGUCCGUUUUUGAAGAAGUGAAACCCCCGGUGAGAAUUAGUCCACAUCUUAACCCGUUGGAGGGUAGGCCAGACCCAGUUGGAGAUGGAAAAGUACCUCCCCCAGACCACAUGCAGUCUCCUCCAUCCUCCAUCCAUGGCCCACACAGACAAGAACUGUGGAGAGAGCGCCUCAUUGGUGGACAAGUACUUCUCAGAGGAGAAGCACAACACAGCUCCCUACAGCAUCAACAUCAACCUCAUCCUCCCCAAAACCACCCACCUCUGCACCGGCCUGAACCGGCCCAACAAGCCCCAGCAGCACCACCAGACCCAUCUCCUCCAGCACAUCAAGACAGAGCCUCGGUUGGACGUCCCAGCGUCCUGCUCCAUCCAGACCCUACCUGACUUCUUGUCUGUCUUCAGCAUUCCCCAGACCGUCAACACUAUGUUUAUCAAACCUGAUAUGGCCACCAGCGGACACCCAGUUUCAGAUACCGAGCUGCAUAUUGGCCCCCAACAACCGCAGGUCUACCAGAUGCCCAUCCCCGUCAGCGGAGCUGACCUCACAAUGACACUCUCCCGCAGCAGCCAAUCAGGGACCAGCGGAGCCGGCAAUGGUAGAACCAUGCUCAACCUGAACAGUGUCUCCUUGACAACGGUGGGUCAUGGCGGUGGUGACUCGUUGUUUGCAAUGCCGGAGCAUUUCUACCACCACCACGCCAAGGUGUCGCCCCAGUCACAGCCCCACAGUCUACCUCCCUCACCCCCCAACUCGCAGCCGGGUAGUCCUGAGAACCAGGCUGAGCUGCUGACCACUCCACCGCCCUUCCAGGCCUCUAGCAGACUGGGGUUAAAGGUCACCCAAAUGUCCCACCACUCCAUGCUUAUGGCCCAUGGACAAUGGUUGCUGACAGGACCCAGGUACAACCGACGGAACAACACUGAGCUCGAGAAGAGACGGAUCCACUUCUGUGACUUCCCCGGCUGCUCCAAGGUUUACACAAAGAGCUCUCACUUGAAAGCACACCAAAGGACACACACAGGAGAGAAACCAUACUCUUGCAACUGGGAGGGCUGUGACUGGCGUUUCGCCCGCUCUGACGAGCUGACACGACACUAUCGUAAACACACGGGAGCCAAGCCCUUCAAGUGUGUAGCCUGCAGGCGCUGUUUCUCCCGGUCCGAUCACCUUGCCCUACACAUGAAGCGCCACCAGAACUAAACACACACGCUACGACCACCUGAAAUGUCACCAGAACUAAACACGCACACAUACGUACAUGCACGUGAGCAUGUGCACCAGCAUAAACACCCAACCACCAACACAUCCACCCACACACAUGCUACGACCACCUGAAGCGUCACCAGAAGAGAGGGACACAUCACCACCAUCCUGAAGCCCCAGAAUGCAUUGCACUGCAUGAGGGCCAACACAAAGAUCAAAAUGUCUGCUCCUGUAAUGACAACAUCAUCAUUGGGAGAAUACUGCCUCAGCAAAAGAUAAGGACAUCUCCCAGCCAGUCGAUGAACAAGGACACCUAAUCCGCCAACACCACAUCCACCACUGUCUCGACACCACCCAAGAGGAUUCACCUCCAACCAGCAGAGGGCCUUCUACCACAAGCCGUCCCAGCAAGCCAGUCCCCCAGACUACCCAGCAGGCCGCUCAGGUCAGUGAUUCCAUGGCUUCCUACUACAGUGCUCCCUCUAUUUCGCUCAUCAGAUGGCAGCCCCCACCACCGCGACGUCCAAGGUUGCCACGGUCAUUUCCCUACUGACCAGGCGGGCGCUGGAGUGGACUACGGCUGCCUGGGAGAGAGGAGAGGAAGAUCUGGGUUCUUACGAGGGGUUCAUAGCUAUAUUCAGGGUGUUUUUUGACCAUCCACCAGAGGGCAGAGCGGAAGGUGAGAAACCAUUCCAACUCCGGCAGGGUGCCCAGACCGCUGCAGAGUACACCCUCACCUUCCGGACCGUGGCAGCCUCCAACGGAUGGAAUGAAUAGGGUGUACUCCACACCCUAUUCUGAAGAGGACUGCACGAGGAGGUCCAGACAUAGUUGGCGUGAGACACCUGGGGCUGUGUCCCUAUUGAGACCAGGAGGGGCACUGGCUCCAGCAGUGUCCGGUGCGUCCCAACCCGGAGUCCACUGGGACAGAGGGACUUCCCCGUGAUCAUUCAUCUCCCAGGGUCGGUGUGAGUGUUCCUUCAUCAUCAUUUUACACCAUACCCUUCAUGGUUUCCAUUUCACUGGCUGGCUGUCUCUCAGGUGUUGUCUCUAAAGCUCUAGUGGACUCUGGUGUCGCUGGGAAUUUUAUCAACCAGGCCCUCAUCUCCUUCCUGAACAUCACCGCGUACCUGCUCUCCUCUCCUUUUCCGGCCCAAGCCCUUGAUAAACAACCAUUGGAAUCCGGCACUAUCACGCACAUCACAGCACCACUCACCCUUACCGUGGGACACUUGCACCAAGAAAGCCUUCCAUUCCUCAUCCUCGGCCUUCCGUGGCUCCAACGUCAUGACCCCACCAUCUCCUGGUCGAGGAUGAAAAUCACUGCCUGGGCACCUGAAUGUCCCUUACCUUGCGGUUCCACAUCGAUUGAGAGCCAUGUGAGUGACCUCCAGCCCAUCAAUCUGUUCUCCCAUAUUGUUGGCCCUGUGUUUUGGGACAUAGAUGUGGACAUCCACCAGGCUCUGGAGAGUGAACCUGCGCCUGCUACCUGCCCUCCUGAGCACAUCUACGUCCCCACGGAGAGGAAUCUACAGGACGAAGCAGGUCUGGCUGGAAACAUUGAGGACUCAUACAAGAAACUAAACCAAGGGACCUGAAGAAUUGUCAAUACUGUGGACAGAGAAGAAUUUAUGCAGCAACAUUUGGCUUCAAUUGAAUGACGAGAUUUAUACGUUUACAUGUUGAAAUGGUAUGUUUUAGUUUGUGUUUUUUGUGUGGGACAUUUAGACACCACUUUUUGACAGAUAAUGAAUGCAAUGUACAUCCUCACCAGACAUUCCUGCCGGAUCAAGCCACGCUCCCUCCCUAUGUAGCUAAAUGGUCUCUUUCCAAAUUAACUCCACAGGAAGAUGGUGUCACUGUAGAUAUCUAAAAUACUCUAUUGUUUGCUUACGUCUGAGGUGGUAAAGGUGCUCAUAUCACUGAAAGUGUUACAUUGAAAUUCAUUGCUGAGAAUGUCCAAAUCCAACAGAGUAUAUUAAUUUAAUUUCACCGUUGCUUUCACUGUAAAUGUCCAUUAAUAUGUUAUUAACACUUUUAUUUGCAUUUAUUUGCACCAAAGAAAACAAUUGCUAGACAACAGUACAGAUAUCUUUUUUUUCUUAAACAAUGUGCAGGUGUGUUUGGAAGCCCAAGGGCUUACAUGAAAAACACGCCACAAAAAAAACCAAUAUAUAAUACAUCAGUACAAAAUAAAAAAAGGUUUGUUAAAACAUAACGAAAUUUACUAAUUAUACAUGUAUAAAUGAAUUGAACUGUAAUAUUUGUUUUGUUUAAAUGUGCGUGCCUGUGAGUGCUAGGCUAUAUGGAGAAGAUUACUGAGGAGUUUGGUUCAUCAGGCUGACCCCCAGUCUUCACUUGUAGUUAUUGAGGGAUAAUGAUGUUUUGGCAAUGUGAAGAUAAGAAUUCCAGAGUAUGGUACCUCUAUAUCUGAUAGUCAGUUCUCUAUGUGAGGUUCGGCAGUUGGGAGGGUGAAGGUUAUCACAGUGUCUUGUAUUAUCUACACUGAAAAACCCAACAAGUUCUGUGAACUCAUUUUUUUGGGGGGGAAAACGAUCACCUAAAAGAAACAUCUGUUAAACUCAAAAGUUAAAAGUAAGGUCACACCUAAUUAUUUUUGAAUUACUUGUAGUUAACCUAAUGGUUUCAUGCAAACUCUUUUUAACUGUACUUAACUUUAAAAGAUUGUUUAAUUAAUUGAAAACAUUCAAUUGCUGCAUAUUUAAUUGCUAUGCUUUCUCUGUAGCGCAAUAGUCGUACCAACUCAACAUAUUAACUUCAACGAAACUCAUUCUUUUGACCUUACUUAACUUACCAUUUUUGGACACCGCUUACCUCGAUUUAGUUAGGUACUAUUAGCUCAAACCUUACCUAACCAUGCUAUAUUCUUAGUACACACAACUCAGUCAG